AUAUCUCCAGAUUACAAGAGUCUGGGCUCCAGAGAGGCAUUCUCUGCCAUAAUAAAAAUACCCGAGUCCCAGCCCACUCUGCAGGCCAUAUUCUCAAGCAUGCUUUCCCCUGUGAGAACUUCCUCUCAGGAACUACUCCCAUAUGUCAUUUCCAGUAUAAAGCAUCAGUGGUGAAACAUACAAUCAAACUUAACCAAUCGAUCCAGUAUACCCCUCUAUCAAAUGAGCUCACUAAAGGUGAGAAACUGAGGUACAGAGAGGUUACAUAAAAUGUCCAAGAUCACAGAGCUGGUGAAUGUCAGAAACAAGAUUUUAAUCCAGUCUGGGUCCAGAGCGUGUCAGCUCUUCACUGUGAGACAGCCAGCGAGAGAGGGAACACAAGCAGGG
This is a long non-coding RNA of Ailuropoda melanoleuca (giant panda), 387 nucleotides long. RefSeq lists it as uncharacterized. Lineage: Eukaryota; Metazoa; Chordata; Mammalia; Carnivora; Ursidae. The transcript is spliced from 4 exons. The record is from RefSeq and is a predicted model, not a curated record.